This 108-nucleotide ribosomal RNA is filed under the name Candidatus Uhrbacteria bacterium CG_4_10_14_0_2_um_filter_41_21. The record is from RNAcentral. RNAcentral also lists the same sequence under 4 other names. Lineage: Bacteria; Candidatus Uhriibacteriota.
UCCGGUGCAAUUUCCUGCAGGGUCACACCCGUUCCCUUCCCGAACACGGAAGUUAAGCCUGUAGGGCCAAUGGUAGUGCAUACGCGCGAGAGUAGGUGUGUGCCGGAA